RNAcentral lists this microRNA (19 nucleotides) under Callorhinchus milii (elephant shark). RNAcentral's name for it is "eshark_NOVEL_170". The record is from RNAcentral. Lineage: Eukaryota; Metazoa; Chordata; Chondrichthyes; Chimaeriformes; Callorhinchidae.
GUGGCCGUCCUCUUCCUCC